UACGUAGGGUGCGAGCGUUGUCCGGAAUUAUUGGGCGUAAAGGGCUCGUAGGCGGUUUGUCGCGUCGGGAGUGAAAACACCGGGCUUAACUCGGUGCUUGCUUUCGAUACGGGCAGACUAGAGGUAUGCAGGGGAGAACGGAAUUCCUGGUGUAGCGGUGAAAUGCGCAGAUAUCGGGAAGAACACCCGUGGCGAAGGCGGCUCUCUGGGACGGUACUGACGCUGAGACGCGAAAGCGUGGGGAGCGAACAGG
RNAcentral lists this ribosomal RNA (253 nucleotides) under uncultured bacterium. Its description in RNAcentral is "partial 16S ribosomal RNA". It matches the Rfam family "Bacterial small subunit ribosomal RNA", at positions 524 to 776 of the family's 1533-position model. The record is from RNAcentral.